Molecule: small nuclear RNA, 105 nt
Organism: Ursus americanus (American black bear)
Lineage: Eukaryota; Metazoa; Chordata; Mammalia; Carnivora; Ursidae
Source: Ensembl
GUGCUGGCUUCAACCGCACAUGUACCGAAAUUGUGACGAUGUGGAGAAGAUUAGCGUGGUCCCUGAAGAAGAAAAAUGCAAAUUUGGGAAGCGUUCCACACUUCU